UAGGCAGCAGUGGGGAAUAUUGCACAAUGGGGGAAACCCUGAUGCAGCGACGCCGCGUGGAGGAAGAAGGUUUUCUGAUUGUAAACUCCUGUGGUUGAGGAAGAUAAUGACGGUACUCAACAAGGAAGUGACGGCUAAUUACGUGCCAGCAGCCGCGGUAAAACGUAGGUCACAAGCGUUGUCCGGAAUUAUUGGGUGUAAAGGGAGCGCAGGCGGGAAGACAAGUUGGAAGUGAAAUCUAUGGGCUCAACCCAUAAACUGCUUUCAAAACUGUUUUUCUUGAGUAGUGCAGAGGUAGGCGGAAUUCCCGGUGUAGCGGUGGAAUGCGUAGAUAUCGGGAGGAACACCAGUGGCGAAGGCGGCCUAUUGGGCACCAACUGACGCUGAGGCUCGAAAGUGUGGGUAGCAAUCAAGAGGAGAUACCCUGGUAGUCCACCCCGUAAACGAUUAUUUUUAGGUGUUGUAGGAUUGACCCC
Molecule: ribosomal RNA, 476 nt
Filed under: uncultured bacterium
Lineage: Bacteria
Description: bacterial SSU rRNA
Rfam family: Bacterial small subunit ribosomal RNA
Source: RNAcentral